UAAAUUGAGAGUUUGAUCCUGGCUCAGGAUGAACGCUGGCGGCGUGCUUAACACAUGCAAGUCGAGCGAUGAA
RNAcentral lists this ribosomal RNA (73 nucleotides) under Clostridium perfringens. RNAcentral's name for it is "partial 16S ribosomal RNA". It matches the Rfam family "Bacterial small subunit ribosomal RNA", at positions 1 to 73 of the family's 1533-position model. The record is from RNAcentral. Lineage: Bacteria; Bacillati; Bacillota; Clostridia; Eubacteriales; Clostridiaceae.